This 465-nucleotide ribosomal RNA is filed under the name Vreelandella stevensii. Its description in RNAcentral is "partial 16S ribosomal RNA". It matches the Rfam family "Bacterial small subunit ribosomal RNA", at positions 338 to 795 of the family's 1533-position model. Lineage: Bacteria; Pseudomonadati; Pseudomonadota; Gammaproteobacteria; Oceanospirillales; Halomonadaceae. The record is from RNAcentral.
CCUACGGGGGGCUGCAGUGGGGAAUAUUGGACAAUGGGGGCAACCCUGAUCCAGCCAUGCCGCGUGUGUGAAGAAGGCCCUCGGGUUGUAAAGCACUUUCAGUGAGGAAGAACGCCUGGUGGUUAAUACCCAUCAGGAAAGACAUCACUCACAGAAGAAGCACCGGCUAACUCCGUGCCAGCAGCCGCGGUAAUACGGAGGGUGCGAGCGUUAAUCGGAAUUACUGGGCGUAAAGCGCGCGUAGGUGGCUUGAUAAGCCGGUUGUGAAAGCCCCGGGCUCAACCUGGGAACGGCAUCCGGAACUGCCAAGCUAGAGUGCAGGAGAGGAAGGUAGAAUUCCCGGUGUAGAGGUGAAAUGCGUAGAGAUCGGGAGGAAUACCAGUGGCGAAGGCGGCCUUCUGGACUGACACUGACACUGAGGUGCGAAAGCGUGGGUAGCAAACAGGAUUAGAUACCCCAGUAGUC